This is a non-coding RNA of Erythranthe guttata (spotted monkey flower), 904 nucleotides long. NCBI's taxonomy places the organism in Eukaryota, Viridiplantae, Streptophyta, Magnoliopsida, Lamiales, Phrymaceae. The record is from RefSeq and is a predicted model, not a curated record.
UGGUUACGUGUUUUAUGCUAAGUGCAUGUUCGAUUUAACAUGGUUAUAUUAUUGGAGUUGAAUGAUUUGUCAUUUAUGGUAUUGCAUGGUCAAGUAUAGGAACGUCAGAAUCUUAAUAUGGUUAUCGGUCGAGUAGACACGGGAAUACGAGGGGCCAGUAUUCCAACUACAGUACUAUAGACUAGAGUGGGUAGCUCCCCUCAAAACAUGCUCAGAAUAUCGACGUCUAUUACCGAUAACCAUGUUAUGAAUCUGCUAGGGAUACCGUCACAUUAUAGUAAUUGUAUUGACAUAAGUAUGAGUAUGUUUAUUUAUACGUUUUGAAUUGUUUAUAUGAUUGGUCAUUUAUGAUAUUGCAUGGUCAGUAUAGGAAGUCAGAAUCUUAAAUGGCUAUCGGUCGAGUAGACACGGAAAUACGGAGGGGCCGGUAUUCCAACUACGGUACUAUAGACUAUAGAGUGGAUAGCUUCCAUUAAUAAACGGGCUCAGAAUAUCGACGUCUAUUACCGAUAACCAUGUUAUGAAUCUGAUAGCUAAGUGGUCGUUGCAUCCCCAUGUUAAUACACCAUUUUGUUUACGUGAGUACACCUUGUGAGUAUACGUUAAGCAGGGGAAACUCGUCGCCCAUGUCAAAAUUGAGGUUCUCGAAGCGGUUAUGGAAACUGGUGGAGCUGAGAAACUCAAGGAAUCACAAGCUUUUAUAUCAACCGACUAUUUUCAAAGAUUAUAGUCACUUUCUUUUAAGUGUUUUAACUUGAGAAGUUUAUAGUUGUAUUUAUAAUGUACUCUAUUUAGGAAUCUAGUCUAUUAAACCGGGGUGUAUGUAAAAUAAAGUUAUUUUUGUGUUCCGCUUGAUUACAAGUAUUGCUUUAAAACCCCGUCUAUGUUGAAGUAGCACUCUUUA